GCUCUACAUGUUUCAAGGAGGGUUCUAUGCUUUCUUUCAACAACACCAUUCUGUUGAGGAGAAUGAGGGCAGGUGGUCUGAAGAAUAAUCCCUUGGCUACUAAAGAAAGAAAUACCCUCAAUGCUAGACCCCAAUUCUAAAACAUUGUCACUUCUAACAGUUUGAACCACGGCACUAAAUUGGGUUUUAACCAAACAUAGGAAUGACUUAAGCAAAGAAAAAGCAUUGAUUUUAGAUCCCAUUAAGUAUGUCCAGGUAGCGCUAGAGAAAUCAUCAACAAUUGUAAGGAAAUAUCUACAACCAGAAGAAAUAGGAGUAUGAUAAGGCCCCCAAGUAUCCACAUGAAUUAGUUGAAAAGGUCUAGAGGUGCUUAUAGAACUAUCAGGAAAGGGGAGUCUAGUCUGUUUUGCCAUGGGACAAACAGAAAAGGGGAAAGGUUGUUUAGAAGCAAAUGGAGAAGGCAAACCAGAAAUGUGUCUCGUAUUUGUAAAAGAAGUAUGGGCAAGUCUUAAAUGCCAAAUGUAAUUCAUGUCAGUUGUAACAAUAUUAUUACAGAUGGAACUAUGUACAUUUGAGGGCAAGGUAACAGCCUUGUUAUCAGACAAAAUGUCAUCAUAUGGAACUAUGUACAUUUGAGGGCAAGCUAACAGUCUUGUUAUCAGACAAAAUGCCAUCAUUACAAGAAGCAGACACAGAACAUACAGAAGUAGAUGAACAAUUAAUGGAAGAAGAAGGGGAAGGUAGAACCCAAGCCAGUUUAUAUAAGCCAGCAUCUUCUCUACCAAGAUCCAGAGGCCUCCUCAGAGAAGGGUCCUGUAUCAAGUGGAGGAAGCAAGAAUUUUCAGUGAACAAAACUACACAAUGCAACUGUUUCACUAACUGUGGACAGAAAUCAAGUUGUGUUUAAAGGAAAGAACCAGCAACACAUUGUGAAGUGUAAUGAAUGGAGUUAGUGCAAAACAACCUGUGCAUGUCACUUUCACUUUAUAACCAUUUGGAAGAGUCACAAGAUAGGGCACAGGUAAAGGUGUGAUGUUAGAGAGUAAAUGUUUAUCAUGUGUCAUAUGAUUAGAAACACAUGAAUCUAUGAUCCAGGUGACAGAAUUAAUGUGGGUAAGCAUGCAAAGUUUGGAAUCAGAAAUGGGGCUCUCAGUUAGCAUAGUACCAGCAAAGUUAGCAGCAUACAUGGGAGGAGGAGUCUGAGCAGUGGAGUCCCCUAACUGGGUCUGUUGUAAUAAGCUCAUCAAUUGAUCAUAAUGUUGUUUGCUCAACCCUGGUAUCACAGAACUCUGGCCAUCUAUGUUUAUACCAGAUUGAUGGCUUUGAGAAGGAUUCCCUUGGGGAACAGACACAUGUCCUUCAGAAGGAGGAAAAUCCACACCAGCAGUAAGAUGAGCAGCAACAGUUCUCCUCCCCUUGUUAAAUGUUGUACUUUGUGGAUACCCAUGAAUCUUGAAA
Molecule: long non-coding RNA, 1458 nt
Filed under: Nicotiana benthamiana
Lineage: Eukaryota; Viridiplantae; Streptophyta; Magnoliopsida; Solanales; Solanaceae
Description: long non-coding RNA (NBEN_LNC017540)
Source: RNAcentral